RNAcentral lists this transfer RNA (77 nucleotides) under Hyphomicrobiales bacterium. Its description in RNAcentral is "tRNA-Leu". It matches the Rfam family "tRNA". From Rfam's summary of the family: Transfer RNA (tRNA) molecules are approximately 80 nucleotides in length. The record is from RNAcentral. Lineage: Bacteria; Pseudomonadati; Pseudomonadota; Alphaproteobacteria; Hyphomicrobiales. RNAcentral also lists the same sequence under 2 other names.
GCGCUCGUGGCGAAAAUGGUAGACGCGCCCGCUUCAGGAGCGGAUUUUUGCCAGUUCGACUCUGGCCGAGCGCACCA